This 1013-nucleotide ribosomal RNA is filed under the name uncultured bacterium. RNAcentral's name for it is "bacterial SSU rRNA". It matches the Rfam family "Bacterial small subunit ribosomal RNA", at positions 8 to 1017 of the family's 1533-position model. The record is from RNAcentral.
AGAGUUUGAUCAUGGCUCAGAUUGAACGCUGGCGGCAUGCCUUACACAUGCAAGUCGGACGGCAGCGCGGGGGCAACCCUGGCGGCGAGUGGCGAACGGGUGAGUAAUACAUCGGAACGUGUCCUGGAGUGGGGGAUAGCCCGGCGAAAGCCGGAUUAAUACCGCAUACGCUCUAAGGAGGAAAGCGGGGGACCGAAAGGCCUCGCGCUCAAGGAGCGGCCGAUGGCGGAUUAGCUAGUUGGUGGGGUAAAGGCCCACCAAGGCGACGAUCCGUAGCUGGUCUGAGAGGACGACCAGCCACACUGGGACUGAGACACGGCCCAGACUCCUACGGGAGGCAGCAGUGGGGAAUUUUGGACAAUGGGCGAAAGCCUGAUCCAGCAAUGCCGCGUGUGUGAAGAAGGCCUUCGGGUUGUAAAGCACUUUUGUCCGGAAAGAAAACUUCGUCCCUAAUAUGGAUGGAGGAUGACGGUACCGGAAGAAUAAGCACCGGCUAACUACGUGCCAGCAGCCGCGGUAAUACGUAGGGUGCGAGCGUUAAUCGGAAUUACUGGGCGUAAAGCGUGCGCAGGCGGUGAUGUAAGACCGAUGUGAAAUCCCCGGGCUUAACCUGGGAACUGCAUUGGUGACUGCAUUGCUGGAGUAUGGCAGAGGGGGGUGGAAUUCCACGUGUAGCAGUGAAAUGCGUAGAGAUGUGGAGGAACACCGAUGGCGAAGGCAGCCCCCUGGGCCAAUACUGACGCUCAUGCACGAAAGCGUGGGGAGCAAACGGGAUUAGAUACCCUGGUAGUCCACGCCCUAAACGAUGUCAACUGGUUGUCGGGCCUUCAUUGGCUUGGUAACGUAGCUAACGCGUGAAGUUGACCGCCUGGGGAGUACGGUCGCAAGAUUAAAACUCAAAGGAAUUGACGGGGACCCGCACAAGCGGUGGAUGAUGUGAUUAAUUCGAUGCAACGCGAAAAACCUUACCUACCCUUGACAUGGAUGGAAUUCUGCCGAAGAGGUGGAAGUGG